GCUGGAGUAGCAAAGUGGUUAAUGUGAUAGAUUUAGGAUUUAUUAUCGGGGGUUCAAAUCCUUUCUUCAGUU
Molecule: transfer RNA, 72 nt
Filed under: Pawsonaster parvus
Lineage: Eukaryota; Metazoa; Echinodermata; Asteroidea; Valvatida; Goniasteridae
Description: Tosia parva tRNA-Leu
Rfam family: tRNA
About the family: Transfer RNA (tRNA) molecules are approximately 80 nucleotides in length. Their secondary structure includes four short double-helical elements and three loops (D, anti-codon, and T loops).
Source: RNAcentral